UGGUUAUGGCCUCGGUGCAGGGAA
This 24-nucleotide non-coding RNA is filed under the name Arabidopsis thaliana (thale cress). The record is from RNAcentral. Lineage: Eukaryota; Viridiplantae; Streptophyta; Magnoliopsida; Brassicales; Brassicaceae.